GUUGUCGUGGCCGAGUGGUAAGGCGAUAAAAUUGAAAAUCUUUUGGGAUUUUCCGCGCGCAGGUUCGAUUCCUGCCGACAUCG
RNAcentral lists this transfer RNA (83 nucleotides) under Dreissena polymorpha. It matches the Rfam family "tRNA". From Rfam's summary of the family: Transfer RNA (tRNA) molecules are approximately 80 nucleotides in length. Their secondary structure includes four short double-helical elements and three loops (D, anti-codon, and T loops). Further hydrogen bonds mediate the characteristic L-shaped molecular structure. tRNAs have two regions of fundamental functional importance: the anti-codon, which is responsible for specific mRNA codon recognition, and the 3' end, to which the tRNAs corresponding amino acid is attached (by aminoacyl-tRNA synthetases). tRNAs cope with the degeneracy of the genetic code in two manners: having more than one tRNA (with a specific anti-codon) for a particular amino acid; and 'wobble' base-pairing, i.e. permitting non-standard base-pairing at the 3rd anti-codon position. Lineage: Eukaryota; Metazoa; Mollusca; Bivalvia; Myida; Dreissenidae. The record is from Rfam by way of RNAcentral.